Molecule: ribosomal RNA, 292 nt
Filed under: uncultured Acinetobacter sp.
Lineage: Bacteria; Pseudomonadati; Pseudomonadota; Gammaproteobacteria; Moraxellales; Moraxellaceae
Description: partial 16S ribosomal RNA
Rfam family: Bacterial small subunit ribosomal RNA
Source: RNAcentral
GUGCCAGCAGCCGCGGUAAUACAGAGGGUGCGAGCGUUAAUCGGAUUUACUGGGCGUAAAGCGCGCGUAGGUGGUUAAUUAAGUCAAAUGUGAAAUCCCCGAGCUUAACUUGGGAAUUGCAUUCGAUACUGGUUAGCUAGAGUAUGGGAGAGGAUGGUAGAAUUCCAGGUGUAGCGGUGAAAUGCGUAGAGAUCUGGAGGAAUACCGAUGGCGAAGGCAGCCAUCUGGCCUAAUACUGACACUGAGGUGCGAAAGCAUGGGGAGCAAACAGGAUUAGAAACCCCUGUAGUCC